CCUACGGGAGGCAGCAGUGAGGAAUAUUGGUCAAUGGGCGCGAGUCUGAACCAGCCAAGUAGCGUGAAGGAUGACUGCCCUACGGGUUGUAAACUUCUUUUAUAAAGGAAUAAAGCGAGGCACGUGUGCCUUUUUGCAUGUACUUUAUGAAUAAUGAUCGGCUAACUCCGUGCCAGCAGCCGCGGUAAUACGGAGGAUCCGAGCGUUAUCCGGAUUUAUUGGGUUUAAAGGGAGCGUAGAUGGGUUGUUAAGUCAGUUGUGAAAGUUUGCGGCUCAACCGUAAAAUUGCAAUUGAUACUGGCAGCCUUGAGUACAGUUGAGGUAGGCGGAAUUCGUGGUGUAGCGGUGAAAUGCUUAGAUAUCACGAAGAACUCCGAUUGCGAAGGCAGCCUACUAAACUGUGACUGACAUUGAUGCUCGAAAGUGUGGGUAUCAAACAGGAUUAGAUACCCCGGUAGUC
This 460-nucleotide ribosomal RNA is filed under the name uncultured bacterium. Its description in RNAcentral is "partial 16S ribosomal RNA". It matches the Rfam family "Bacterial small subunit ribosomal RNA", at positions 338 to 795 of the family's 1533-position model. The record is from RNAcentral.